GACGAACGCUGGCGGCGUGCUUAACACUUGCAAGUCGAACGGUAAGGCCCUUUCGGGGGUACACGAGUGGCGAACGGGUGAGUAACACGUGGGUGAUCUGCCCUGCACUUUGGGAUAAGCCUGGGAAACUGGGUCUAAUACCGGAUAGGACUACGCGAUGCAUGUCGUGUGGUGGAAAGCUUUUGCGGUGUGGGAUGGGCCCGCGGCCUAUCAGCUUGUUGGUGGGGUGAUGGCCUACCAAGGCGACGACGGGUAGCCGGCCUGAGAGGGUGUCCGGCCACACUGGGACUGAGAUACGGCCCAGACUCCUACGGGAGGCAGCAGUGGGGAAUAUUGCACAAUGGGCGCAAGCCUGAUGCAGCGACGCCGCGUGGGGGAUGACGGCCUUCGGGUUGUAAACCCCUUUCAGCACAGACGAAGCGUAAGUGACGGUAUGUGCAGAAGAAGCACCGGCCAACUACGUG
RNAcentral lists this ribosomal RNA (464 nucleotides) under uncultured bacterium. Its description in RNAcentral is "partial 16S ribosomal RNA". It matches the Rfam family "Bacterial small subunit ribosomal RNA", at positions 28 to 507 of the family's 1533-position model. The record is from RNAcentral.